GUUUCUGGUGUCAAGACCAGGUUCCCUGUGAGCUGCGACAACAUGGGGAUCAAAGAGCAACACUCCCGGGAGGAGGGCUGCGGUUAGACGGCCCGGUUUGAUGUUGGAGAGUCAAACGCCAGUCCUGACACACUCAAUAGUCCAGGCAGCAGGGUCUCCUCCAGAGCACUGACUCCAUCCGAGAGGAAUGCAUGAGCUGGAUGCUCUGACACACGCGCAGGCGAAGGCACACGCAAGCACACGCAUGCACGCAAACAUGGAUGCACAAGAGCGAACACACACGCACAUCCACACAGCUGUCUCUGGAGGUAGGAUAUCUGGCAGCAACAGGUGGUUUCAAAACACUUACUGGAAUCACAGUCACCAAGGCCCCACCGCUGACAAACUUGUGUCGCUAAUGUUGUGAGAAUUAGAUCACGGCAUAACUUCUCAGAAAAGCAACCACAAAAAAACCUGGUUUAUCCUUUCAGGUUUAACCUUCGGGGCUCGACUGGCUCUCAGAUUCACACCUCCGCGAAGUCUUAGCGUCUCCAGUUCACGAAACCUACGCGCUGGGAGGGAGAUAGGCGCACCUGGAGGAAAGCCAUCCCCGACACAUGGAGAAGGUGCAAAGUCCACAGAGAAAGAAUGGGUGUACUCGGCCUGUCUCCUGAUGCAUGCUGGGAUUGGCUCCAGCUCCCCUGGCGACCCUGGCCAGGAUAAGUGCAUGGGUAUUGAAUAAUGGAUGGAUGAAUGGACCGGCUCGGUUCAGAUGCACAUCCCAGACACGAUGACAUCUGUGAUGCCUGAGCUGAAAUCGAUCCACAUGCCGGAGUCGAGCUUGGACCAAUUCAUGCCGGAGGAAUUUAGGCAGGACUUUCACUUGGCUUUGACCAGAUCUCUGGCUGCUUUGUCCUUCCCCUCCUGAGUGUGGAAAAGUGGGUCAUGGACUUCUCACCUUUUCAUGUUUUCG
Molecule: long non-coding RNA, 952 nt
Organism: Acanthopagrus latus (yellowfin seabream)
Lineage: Eukaryota; Metazoa; Chordata; Actinopteri; Spariformes; Sparidae
Exons: 3
Source: RefSeq, a predicted model, not a curated record